This 638-nucleotide long non-coding RNA is filed under the name Ananas comosus (pineapple). Its description in RNAcentral is "long non-coding RNA (ACOM_LNC026686)". Lineage: Eukaryota; Viridiplantae; Streptophyta; Magnoliopsida; Poales; Bromeliaceae. The record is from RNAcentral.
UAAUAAUGGUUCAGUUAGCUGAUCUUAUGUAUGCUUGAAUGUAUGUGAACUGUGGUGCUGGUUUCUUUUAUACAUGAGAUUGGAGUUUUCGAUCUGUGGUUUUGGUUCUGUGGAGAUUUGGUUUUCUUGUAGUUAUGCAUCGUGGAUUUCUACCCCUCGAGGUAGCUGAUUUUCAAAAUAGAGUUUCCGUGUGGGAAACAGUUUUAAAAAGGUUUUCGAAUGGUUUUUAUGAAUGAAUGAAUUAGAGUUUAAAAACAAAAGCUUCCGUGUGGGGAGCACUUUUAAAUAGGAUGUUUGUUGUAUUGUGCAUUGCAUCAUCCAGCGCCUAAGGAGUGCUUAGAGGCAUGCAUCAUUCUAAGGAUUGUUAGCUGUAUGGAAUUGCAUAUCAUGCCUUGGUUGUUGAUUGGUAAAUGUAGGUUGUGGUUGAGAUCCUGUUGUAUAGCUGGUACGCCGUGCAAAUACAAAGGAGACUCUGUCCGAGUGGACAGAGGAACUUUGUAUUUGUGGCGGGUCUGUACGUCGCGUGGGCCAGGUUGAAAAAAAAAGAAAAAGAAAAUGGCACGUUUUCCGCAACUCUGUUAUUAAAAGGCUUUUAAAAUCGGCCCCGGGGCGUGACAAGUGUUGUGACCUCUUUAACU